Molecule: unclassified non-coding RNA, 239 nt
Filed under: Hevea brasiliensis (rubber tree)
Lineage: Eukaryota; Viridiplantae; Streptophyta; Magnoliopsida; Malpighiales; Euphorbiaceae
Source: RNAcentral
UGUUUUCAUCCCGAACUUCCUAUCAUUGUUACAGGUUCUGAGGAUGGGACAGUUCGUAUAUGGCAUUCAACAACUUACAGGCUUGAAAACACAUUGAAUUAUGGCCUUGAAAGAGUUUGGGCCGUGGGACACAUGAAAGGCUCCCGCCGUAUUGUGAUUGGUUAUGACGAAGGAACCAUUAUGGUCAAAAUUGGUCGAGAAGAACCUGUCGCUAGUAUGGAUAACAGUGGGAAGAUUAU